Molecule: ribosomal RNA, 497 nt
Filed under: uncultured bacterium
Lineage: Bacteria
Description: partial 16S ribosomal RNA
Rfam family: Bacterial small subunit ribosomal RNA
Source: RNAcentral
GACGAACGCUGGCGGCGUGCCUAAUACAUGCAAGUAGAACGCUGAAGAGAGGAGCUUGCUCUUCUUGGAUGAGUUGCGAACGGGUGAGUAGCGCGUAGGUAACCUGCCUUGUAGCGGGGGAUAACUAUUGGAAACGAUAGCUAAUACCGCAUAACAAUGGAUGACACAUGUCAUUUAUUUGAAAGGGGCAAUUGCUCCACUACAAGAUGGACCUGCGUUGUAUUAGCUAGUAGGUGAGGUAAUGGCUCACCUAGGCGACGAUACAUAGCCGACCUGAGAGGGUGAUCGGCCACACUGGGACUGAGACACGGCCCAGACUCCUACGGGAGGCAGUAGUAGGGAAUCUUCGGCAAUGGGGGCAACCCUGACCGAGCAACGCCGCGUGAGUGAAGAAGGUUUUCGGAUCGUAAAGCUCUGUUGUAAGUCAAGAACGGGUGUGAGAGUGGAAAGUUCACACUGUGACGGUAGCUUACCAGAAAGGGACGGCUAACUACGUG